UGCAGGAUGGCUCAGUUGGUUAGAGUUUGGUGCUGAUAAUGCCAAGGUUGCAGGUUCGAUCCCUAUAUGGGACAUCUGCAU
This 81-nucleotide transfer RNA is filed under the name Podarcis lilfordi (Lilford's wall lizard). RNAcentral's name for it is "tRNA.Ile". The stretch from base 8 to 66 matches the Rfam family "tRNA", at positions 8 to 63 of the family's 71-position model. Rfam says of the family: Transfer RNA (tRNA) molecules are approximately 80 nucleotides in length. The record is from RNAcentral. Lineage: Eukaryota; Metazoa; Chordata; Lepidosauria; Squamata; Lacertidae.